GACGAACGCUGGCGGCGUGCUUAACACAUGCAAGUCGAACGGAAAGGCCCUGCUUUUGUGGGGUGCUCGAGUGGCGAACGGGUGAGUAACACGUGAGUAACCUGCCCUUGACUUUGGGAUAACUUCAGGAAACUGGGGCUAAUACCGGAUAGGAGCUCCUGCUGCAUGGUGGGGGUUGGAAAGUUUCGGCGGUUGGGGAUGGACUCGCGGCUUAUCAGCUUGUUGGUGGGGUAGUGGCUUACCAAGGCCUUGACGGGUAGCCGGCCUGAGAGGGUGACCGGCCACGUUGGGACUGAGAUGCGGCCCAGACUCCUACGGGAGGCAGCAGUGGGGAAUAUUGCACAAUGGGCGGAAGCCUGAUGCAGCAACGCCGCGUGCGGGAUGACGGCCUUCGGGUUGUAAACCGCUUUCGCCUGUGACGAAGCGUGAGUGACGGUAAUGGGUAAAGAAGCACCGGCUAACUACGUG
RNAcentral lists this ribosomal RNA (468 nucleotides) under uncultured bacterium. RNAcentral's name for it is "partial 16S ribosomal RNA". It matches the Rfam family "Bacterial small subunit ribosomal RNA", at positions 28 to 507 of the family's 1533-position model. The record is from RNAcentral.